UAAGUUUCCAGCAUACCCAGGAUGUAGAGUAGAGCACAAGUGAUUUCUGCCUUACCUCUAUGGGACGGACAGCUGUUGAUGAGAAGGCACUAUAUCAUCUCACUGGGAAUACACUUCUGCAAGCUGGGAAGGACUUCUGCAUGAGAUAACUAAAGAAAUGCUGCUUUUUCCUGCCCAUAACCAAGGAAGAUAUGAAAGCAAAUAUUUCAAGGCGAAUUGGAUGCUAAUAGAGAAGAGUGCCAAAGAGAAUAGUGGUGUUUCUGAUUUCUCUAUAACUAACUGCAGAAAGUGAGAACUGCAUCCUUUUUUAACAGCUGAGUGGGAUCUUAACACAGCUGUUAACUUGACAUGACUCGUGAAUAUAAAACUUCUCCUUGGUAACUGCUGAUUCUCAUUGUGCUGACUGAAAAACCAGCCACCAUGCUGCUUGGAUGAUAAUGGGCCUCCAGGCUUUCCUUGUCUGAUGAAGCUGAUCUCUAUUCCAGGUAAGAAGAAAACGAUUGUGAAAUUGAUCCAUACUGGGAGUGGGAGGAGGAGUUCUCUAUCCGGAUAAGUAACCUUAAUACUUUCAUCCACAAUUAAAUGUUACCAGUUAAUUUUGAAAAGCACAUUAAAUGGUUGGAAACAUCUCACUACAAUGAUUUCUAAAUAUCUUAGUUUUUUUAAAUCACUCCUGGCUGAGAAUAAUUGAUUCAGCCAAAUAAUGCCCAUUGCUUUUUUCUGUAUUUUUUUGGUCCUUUAUACUCUCUUCCAAACCGAGCCUACUAAUAUCUGCGAGAAGUGAAUAACUUUGUAUUUCUGUGCUGGAACCCAGAUUUACAUUUUGGCUGCAAUAAAUAACAAUCUUAUUCAUUUGAGCUUCUCAGCCCUCUUUUCAACCAGGAGAACACUUUUGUGGAGCUUGAGACCUUGGCUGUAUGUUUUGCUUUCCAAGGGAACUUAAAGAGCCAGUUGUUUUAAUACAUAGAGCAGAACAACUGCAGCUGACAUAGUGUUGGGCAGUGUUUGUUUUCCUCCUUUUGAAAAACCUUUGAGUUAUGUGCUUUCCUGCUGGGAUGAGCAUCUCCCACAAGGCCAUCUAUGAAAUCCUUAAGGUCAAACCUGCUGUUUCAACCUUCUGUGCUGUGUGAAUGGGUAUUUCCAGGUGGAUUUAUUUUGAGAAGUCCAUAGCCCUUC
Long non-coding RNA from Centrocercus urophasianus (Greater sage-grouse), 1176 nucleotides. RefSeq lists it as uncharacterized. The record is from RefSeq and is a predicted model, not a curated record. The transcript has 4 exons. Lineage: Eukaryota; Metazoa; Chordata; Aves; Galliformes; Phasianidae.